RNAcentral lists this long non-coding RNA (323 nucleotides) under Salvia miltiorrhiza (redroot sage). Its description in RNAcentral is "long non-coding RNA (SMIL_LNC003103)". The record is from RNAcentral. Lineage: Eukaryota; Viridiplantae; Streptophyta; Magnoliopsida; Lamiales; Lamiaceae.
UGUUUUUAAUGCUAUCGCUCAUUGUUUAGCGAAAGCUGCGAGAAAUUUUAUUUCACAUCAUGUUUGGACUGAACCCCCAACUUAUGUGGUGGGUCUACUCCAUAUCCAAUGUUCUUGUGAGCAAUAAAAAAUCUUUCUUUUCCUUCAAAAAAAAAAAAUAAUAUGUAGUAAGAUAUAGCAAUCACUAAAAGAGAAAAAAAAAUAAAAAUAAAAUAAAAUGUAAGUUAUAGGUCAAGCCGCGUAGAAAUUUAGUGAAUAUAUUUAACAAAUACACAAUUAAACUAAUUUCCGCGCAACCUUUACCUAUAAUAAUUAUAAACACA